RNAcentral lists this ribosomal RNA (253 nucleotides) under uncultured bacterium. RNAcentral's name for it is "partial 16S ribosomal RNA". It matches the Rfam family "Bacterial small subunit ribosomal RNA", at positions 524 to 776 of the family's 1533-position model. The record is from RNAcentral.
UACAGAGGGUGCGAGCGUUGUCCGGAAUCACUGGGCGUAAAGGGCGCGUAGGCGGCCUGGUAAGUCGGGGGUGAAACGCUGGAGCUCAACUCCAGCACUGCCUUCGAGACUGUCAGGCUUGAGCACGGUAGAGGCUGGUGGAAUUCCCGGUGUAGCGGUGGAAUGCGUAGAGAUCGGGAAGAACAUCGGUGGCGAAGGCGGCCAGCUGGGCCGUUGCUGACGCUGAGGCGCGACAGCGUGGGGAGCAAACAGG